Harpia harpyja (harpy eagle) is the source of this 652-nucleotide long non-coding RNA. RefSeq lists it as uncharacterized. NCBI's taxonomy places the organism in Eukaryota, Metazoa, Chordata, Aves, Accipitriformes, Accipitridae. The transcript is spliced from 3 exons. The record is from RefSeq and is a predicted model, not a curated record.
AGCGGUGCAGCCCCGCGGGGCGGCCGCCGGCGGCCCCGGGCAGGCACCGGCUGGUCGGUACCGGCCUGCCGGGCGCUGCGCCUGGCCACCGGCGUUGAGCGGUGGCGGAUGCGGCCCUGCCGAGGCCUGGGGCGCACCCCGUUGCCCGCCCGCCCGCCCGCCCCGCCUCUGCCCCCUGGACCCGGCGUCGGUGCUGCUUGCCGCAGGCGCCGGGCGUUGAGGUUCCCGCCCGCCGGUGCGCGUGUUACUGAAGCCAAGACCAUUCAAGGCCACGGGCUGGUCCACUGUAGCUAAUGAAAUGGCUGGUACUACGUCUACUGAACGUUGGGACUUAGGGGCCUCCAUUUCUCUCUGUGCUGGUUUUACAAGACCAGAGUGUCCGGAUUGUGUUUCCUCCACUUUCCUGCUUCCUUUAGCCCCCAGUCUUGCUCCCAAGUUCCCAAGCUUCACUUGCCCCAGCAGGUGAUGUCCAUCCAUCCCAGUCCCAGUGCCGCUCAGAGCAGCUGGUGCACAUCAGCAGGUAUGCAUGCCUGUUGGAAAUCCUGCUUGAGUGUUAAUGCUAGUGCCUCCAUUAAAACGAGUGAUAAAUGCUGACAGCCUAGCCCUGUGUCUGUGGACCUGCAUUUUUGGGUAGCACUACUGCAAAGUGUGA